GUUGCAAGAGUGAUUCUGGAAGCCUGAAGCGCCUAAGCAGCUCCUAAUCAACAAUUUAACGGUUCAAUAUUAUGGAAUGGUGAAGAGAUGAUAGAGCAAAGAAGAAAGAAACGUUGAAGGGAAGCAAUGUUCUUUCAGCAAAUGGUUGGGCUUAGAAAGUGUUCAAGUAAAUUUUGUGUUAUUGCCUCAGCCCAUUCUCUUUUGCCACCUCAGCACCCC
Molecule: long non-coding RNA, 219 nt
Filed under: Vigna radiata
Lineage: Eukaryota; Viridiplantae; Streptophyta; Magnoliopsida; Fabales; Fabaceae
Description: long non-coding RNA (VRAD_LNC015883)
Source: RNAcentral